AAGAUAUAUUUUUGGGUUUUUAAUUAGUAAAGAUGAUAAAAUACAAAGUAUGAUACAAUCAAAUGGUGCUUGGUGAUCUCUCCCAAUGCAAACCCAAUGAAUGAGGGGUAAGGGGGAUGCCAAGUUGUGAUCCCAAUGCUAAUGCAUAUGAUGAGAUAGCACGAGGGAUCUUAGGGUCAAAAUUGGGGUCUUACAGCUGCCCCUAUUUAAGGACGUUCUAAUUGAGGAGAUGAAGGUUAAAAUCUUCG
Molecule: long non-coding RNA, 248 nt
Filed under: Lathyrus oleraceus (garden pea)
Lineage: Eukaryota; Viridiplantae; Streptophyta; Magnoliopsida; Fabales; Fabaceae
Description: Pisum sativum (pea) long non-coding RNA (PSAT_LNC035541)
Source: RNAcentral